UAAUGCUUUACGAAAGUCAAA
Caenorhabditis elegans is the source of this 21-nucleotide non-coding RNA. Lineage: Eukaryota; Metazoa; Nematoda; Chromadorea; Rhabditida; Rhabditidae. The record is from Ensembl.